CGCAAUUGCGGCAUGCCUUAACAUGCAGUCGAACGGCAGCACGGGUGCUUGCACCUGGUGGCGAGUGGCGAACGGGUGAGUAAUACAUCGGAACAUGUCCUGUAGUGGGGGAUAGCCCGGCGAAAGCCGGAUUAAUACCGCAUACGAUCUACGGAUGAAAGCGGGGGACCUUCGGGCCUCGCGCUAUAGGGUUGGCCGAUGGCUGAUUAGCUAGUUGGUGGGGUAAAGGCCUACCAAGGCGACGAUCAGUAGCUGGUCUGAGAGGACGACCAGCCACACUGGGACUGAGACACGGCCCAGACUCCUACGGGAGGCAGCAGUGGGGAAUUUUGGACAAUGGGCGAAAGCCUGAUCCAGCAAUGCCGCGUGUGUGAAGAAGGCCUUCGGGUUGUAAAGCACUUUUGUCCGGAAAGAAAUCCUUGGCUCUAAUACAGUCGGGGGAUGACGGUACCGGAAGAAUAAGCACCGGCUAACUACGUGCCAGCAGCCGCGGUAAUACGUAGGGUGCGAGCGUUAAUCGGAAUUACUGGGCGUAAAGCGUGCGCAGGCGGUUUGCUAAGACCGAUGUGAAAUCCCCGGGCUCAACCUGGGAACUGCAUUGGUGACUGGCAGGCUAGAGUAUGGCAG
Molecule: ribosomal RNA, 627 nt
Filed under: Burkholderia sp.
Lineage: Bacteria; Pseudomonadati; Pseudomonadota; Betaproteobacteria; Burkholderiales; Burkholderiaceae
Description: bacterial SSU rRNA
Rfam family: Bacterial small subunit ribosomal RNA
Source: RNAcentral